UAUGAAAGAACUGCCGAAGACAGCAGGUGCCGCAAGGCAUAAGGAUGAACACGCCUGCCGAGGAGUAAAGAAUUUCAAUAUACUGAAAUGAUUUAUGAACCUCUCUGUUUUUGGAACAGAGAGGUUUUUU
Molecule: small RNA, 130 nt
Filed under: uncultured Marvinbryantia sp.
Lineage: Bacteria; Bacillati; Bacillota; Clostridia; Lachnospirales; Lachnospiraceae
Description: Ribosomal protein L10 leader
Rfam family: Ribosomal protein L10 leader
About the family: This family is a putative r-protein leader autoregulatory structure found in B. subtilis and other low-GC Gram-positive bacteria. It is located in the 5' untranslated regions of mRNAs encoding ribosomal proteins L10 and L12 (rplJ-rplL).
Source: RNAcentral